AAAAGAAACCAACAGGGAUUGCCCCAGUAACGGCGAGUGAAGCGGCAAGAGCUCAAAUUUGAAAGCUGGCUCCUUCGGGGCCCGCAUUGUAAUUUGCAGAGGAUGCUUCGGGAGCGGUCCCCAUCUAAGUGCCCUGGAACGGGACGUCAUAGAGGGUGAGAAUCCCGUAUGGGAUGGGGUGUCCGCGCCCGUGUGAAGCUCCUUCGACGAGUCGAGUUGUUUGGGAAUGCAGCUCUAAAUGGGUGGUAAAUUUCAUCUAAAGCUAAAUAUUGGCCGGAGACCGAUAGCGCACAAGUAGAGUGAUCGAAAGAUGAAAAGCACUUUGAAAAGAGAGUUAAAAAGCACGUGAAAUUGUUGAAAGGGAAGCGCUUGCGACCAGACUCGCUCGCGGGGUUCAGCCGGCAUUCGUGCCGGUGUACUUCCCCGCGGGCGGGCCAGCGUCGGUUUGGGCGGUCGGUCAAAGGCCCUCGGAAGGUAACGCCCCUAGGGGCGUCUUAUAGCCGAGGGUGCAAUGCGACCUGCCUAGACCGAGGAACGCGCUUCGGCUCGGACGCUGGCAUAAUGGUCGUAAGCGACCCGUCUUGAAACACGGACCAAGGAGUCUAACAUCUACGCGAGUGUUCGGGUGUCAAACCCGUGCGCGAAGUGAAAGCGAACGGAGGUGGGAACCCUUACGGGUGCACCAUCGACCGAUCCUGAAGUCUUCGGAUGGAUUUGAGUAAGAGCGUAGCUGUUGGGACCCGAAAGAUGGUGAACUAUGCCUGAAUAGGGCGAAGCCAGAGGAAACUCUGGUGGAGGCUCGUAGCGGUUCUGACGUGCAAAUCGAUCGUCGAAU
This 835-nucleotide ribosomal RNA is filed under the name Penicillium melanoconidium. Its description in RNAcentral is "LSU rRNA". It matches the Rfam family "Eukaryotic large subunit ribosomal RNA", at positions 57 to 910 of the family's 3401-position model. Lineage: Eukaryota; Fungi; Ascomycota; Eurotiomycetes; Eurotiales; Aspergillaceae. The record is from RNAcentral.